GACGUAGGUGGCGAACGUUAUCCGGAAUUACUGGGCGUAAAGCGUGCGUAGGUGGUUUGUUAAGUCUGCUGUGAAAGCCCCGGGCUCAACCUGGGAAUGGCAGUGGAUACUGGCAAGCUGGAGUGCGGUAGAGGGUAGUGGAAUUCCCGGUGUAGCGGUGAAAUGCGUAGAGAUCGGGAGGAACACCAGUGGCGAAGGCGGCUACCUGGACCAGCACUGACACUGAGGCACGAAAGCGUGGGGAGCAAACAGG
This 253-nucleotide ribosomal RNA is filed under the name uncultured bacterium. RNAcentral describes it as "partial 16S ribosomal RNA". It matches the Rfam family "Bacterial small subunit ribosomal RNA", at positions 524 to 776 of the family's 1533-position model. The record is from RNAcentral.